GAUGAACGCUGGCGGCGUGCCUAAUACAUGCAAGUCGAGCGAACGGACGAGAAGCUUGCUUCUCUGAUGUUAGCGGCGGACGGGUGAGUAACACGUGGAUAACCUACCUAUAAGACUGGGAUAACUUCGGGAAACCGUAGCUAAUACCGGAUAAUAUUUUGAACCGCAUGGUUCAAAAGUGAAAGACGGUCUUGCUGUCACUUAUAGAUGGAUCCGCGCUGCAUUAGCUAGUUGGUAAGGUAACGGCUUACCAAGGCAACGAUGCAUAGCCGACCUGAGAGGGUGAUCGGCCACACGGGAACUGAGCCACGGUCCAGACUCCUACAGGAGGCAGCAGUAGGGAAUCUUCCGCAAUGGGCGAAAGCCUGACGGAGCAACGCCGCGUGAGUGAUGAAGGUCUUCGGAUCGUAAAACUCUGUUAUUAGGGAAGAACACAUGUGUAAGUAACUGUGCACAUCUUGACGGUACCUAAUCAGAAAGCCACGGCUAACUACGUG
RNAcentral lists this ribosomal RNA (497 nucleotides) under uncultured bacterium. Its description in RNAcentral is "partial 16S ribosomal RNA". It matches the Rfam family "Bacterial small subunit ribosomal RNA", at positions 28 to 507 of the family's 1533-position model. The record is from RNAcentral.